Molecule: long non-coding RNA, 599 nt
Organism: Ornithorhynchus anatinus (platypus)
Lineage: Eukaryota; Metazoa; Chordata; Mammalia; Monotremata; Ornithorhynchidae
Exons: 3
Source: RefSeq, a predicted model, not a curated record
AGUAAAUCAACAGAAUUUAUUGAACACCAGGAUAAGCCCUAUGGGGAGAUGAAAGGGAAGGAAAUAUUGGCUCCUGCUCUGAACCAGAUUUCAACUGAAGAUGGAUUUUAUGAUGUUGGCAGCCAAGCUAGGCCACCCAGUUCAGCAGUUUCUGAGGGAUGAAUUCAAACCCCAGACUUCAGAAAGCCUAAAACCACGUCGCAGGACAAGUUUUCUGUUGCAGGAAGUAUUUGUAGGUGGACUCUAGUCUUCUUUAUCAACUAUAUGCCUUCAAUUUCCUCCCAGUCUUGCAAAGCAACCUGCUUCGUUUCAGCAAGUGUGACGUAGGAGUGCAUGUGGAAGGACCAGAAAUGAUAUCCAAGCAACAUAUAUCAGUGAUGCCGUCCCAGCUCCACUUGUCUAGAUAGGUAAUAGGAUCAUAAGCUGCUAUUGACUCAGAGCCAUCAAAAAACAAAUAAAAGUGAACUGCGCUAAGGGAAGUAAUCCAGAUAAAAAGACCAUUUUACAGACCCCUGAAGAGCUCUAGGGUCUCUUUUACCUAAACCCUUUCAUUGAUUAUCAUGUCUUAAGAGAAGGAAACAAGAUUUUCUGCAGAGGUU